AUACUUACCUGUACGGGAGUUACCUAUAUCAUACAAACGGUCUCCCGGGGUAAGGCUACUCCAUAGCACUCUGGAAUAGCCGAACUCUUCGGGCACCUCUAAUGUUGGUGAGCCGGGUACAUAAUUUCUUAGUGUUGGGGACUGCGUUCGCGCUCUCCCCAU
This is a small nuclear RNA of Patella vulgata (common limpet), 162 nucleotides long. RefSeq annotates it as U1 spliceosomal RNA. The record is from RefSeq and is a predicted model, not a curated record. Lineage: Eukaryota; Metazoa; Mollusca; Gastropoda; Patellidae. The transcript has a single exon.